This 462-nucleotide ribosomal RNA is filed under the name Danionella sp. 'South Myanmar'. RNAcentral's name for it is "partial 16S ribosomal RNA". It matches the Rfam family "Bacterial large subunit ribosomal RNA", at positions 1923 to 2541 of the family's 2925-position model. Lineage: Eukaryota; Metazoa; Chordata; Actinopteri; Cypriniformes; Danionidae. The record is from RNAcentral.
UUUAACGGCCGCGGUAUUCUGACCGUGCAAAGGUAGCGCGAUCACUUGCCCCCUAAUUGAGGGCCUGUACGAAUGGACCCACGAGGGCUUAACUGUCUCCUUUUUCUAAUCAAUGAAAUUGAUUUAUCCGUGCAGAAGCGGGUAUAAAGCUAUAAGACGAGAAGACCCUAUGGAACUUUAGAUACUAACCACUUACCUUAAAGAAAAUAAAUAAAAUUUUAAAUAACCGUAAUUGUUUGAUUAAGUAUUUUCGGUUGGGGUGACCACGGAGAAAAAAGAGCCUCCAAAUGGAAUGGGAUUUUUCCUAAACUCUAGACUUACAUCUCAAAAAUGCAAAAAUUCUGACCACAAGAUCCAGUUUUAAUUCUGAUUAAUGAAACAAGCUACCCUAGGGAUAACAGCGCAAUCCCUUUUAAGAGAACAUAUCGACGAAGGGGUUUACGACCUCGAUGUUGGAUCAGG